CUUUCCCCUUUUUAUAAUAUUAGAUAGAUAAAAGAUCCUGGAAUGUUCUUUUAUCCAAAGCUUUUGCGCCUGAGGAUGGGCCUGCGUCCGAUUAGGUUGUUGGUGGGGUAAUGGCCCACCAAGCCUGCGAUCGGUACGGGCAGUGAGAGCUGAAGCCCGGAGUUGGGGACUGAGACAAGGCCCCAGGCCCUACGGGGCGCAGCAGGCGCGAAACCUCUGCAAUGCGGGAAACCGUGACAGGGGGAUCCCAAGUGCUCAUGCAUUGCAUGGGCUGUUCUUUGGUCUAAGUAACCAGAGGAGUAAGGGCUGGGCAAGACCGGUGCCAGCCGCCGCGGUAACA
Molecule: ribosomal RNA, 340 nt
Filed under: uncultured archaeon
Lineage: Archaea
Description: partial 16S ribosomal RNA
Rfam family: Archaeal small subunit ribosomal RNA
Source: RNAcentral